Molecule: long non-coding RNA, 5790 nt
Organism: Lagopus leucura (white-tailed ptarmigan)
Lineage: Eukaryota; Metazoa; Chordata; Aves; Galliformes; Phasianidae
Exons: 8
Source: RefSeq, a predicted model, not a curated record
ACUGGAACCACAUACACUCUGUUUACUAGAGUGCAGAAUGUGCUCGUGCCUUGCUACUUCCCGGCAUGAGUGACUUUGCCUUUAUGAAGCUCUAUGCAUACGAGAUGACGGUGGGAACUCGUCUCUGUAAGGCCAACACCUGAGCUACUGACGAAGGGAGUCUGCAGUGCAGUUGAGGUCUCAGCCCUGUGCCUUCAACCACUCUGGAGUAAUGCUGGGAGGAGCUCUCAGAUUGAUCCCUUCCAUAGCUUCCAAGGAUUUUUAGGAUUAUGGGAUUUAUGGACCUGCAAAAUCCUCUGGAGAACAUCAGCCACCCACAAAACCAUCUGGAAAUUCUCCCUAUCUUUCCUGGGUCACUGAGUGUUGGGAAGGAGGCAUCUCUGCUCUGAGGAUUACAGCAAAUCAGUCGCUUGCCGUCCUUACUGGAAUACCUCCCCUUUCAGUUGCUCGGAACAGAGCAAUUAUUGCAGAAGGCAGAAGAAUAUUUUUUCCCUUUCUCUGAGCUUUUGCAGUGCAGCAGUGGCCAUGUCUGGCAGAAGGCCUGAAGACUUCCAGGCGGUUCCUCCACACCGUGUUGUAUCAGUGCAAGUGUCCUCCAAUCGAGUUUGCUGAGUGCUGAGCUUAUGCCAGUGCUGAGCUGUGCAGCUGCAGUCUCAGGUGCAAAGCAAGAGGAGUAGCAGCGAACUUCUUGUCCCAGGGGAGGAUGCUGCUGCGUCACUUGCAUUCUUCACCCCUCCUGCCUUGUUGGGAAGGAGCAACCCUCCGAAGCCGGCGUGUCAAAAUUGUCCAUUUCAUUCCUCAACUUCCUGAAGCUGUCAGUGUGGGGUGAGCUGCAGGAGCUCUGAAUCCUUGGUGAGAGCGGGGUAAAACAGCAGAAGUGGCCUGAGCAGGAAUAACCCAACUUCAGAAGGGGAGGAAGUGAGUGUCUGACUACAACCUGCAUGUCUGUACUUAAGUAUGGCAGCGAUAGCCUGAGCAUGGUGAUCUUGAGCAUCAGUGUUGCUGCAGUGAUGGAAACAGCUGAUUCUAGAUAAAAAGAGGAAGAUUUGGUAGAAUACAUCAUGAUAUUUUUUAGAUGCUUCAAAUUUUGUCUUUUUUCCACCAUGAUGUAAGUGCAGAGGUUGCUCCACUUUGAAUGGGUAUUUUACAUGAGCCUGCCUCUCAAAUUAAGUAGGAUCAUGUUUCUUCAGCAUUUAGUGUGAACCUUGAUGCCUGGUGGUGUAUUUCAGCCUUCCAAAGAGACAUGCAAGAAUAAAGCACGAUGAUUCACUGCAUACUAAAAUGUUCUACAUGUAAAAUAAUAAUGAUAAAUAAAUAGAAAAGUUGCUGUUUCAGCUUUGCAAUAAAACUAUAAAACUCACCAGCCAGUAAACAGUGGAUCUCCUGUUCCCAUGGAGAAGAGCUGCUGCAGACCUAAAAGCUUGCUGUGGGAAAGAAAAGAAAUAUAAAUCAAAAAGAUCCACUCAUGGUCUUGCAAACAAAGGUUGCCUUGGAUUGUGGUCACAUGUUCCCGUUCAGCUGAUCGAGUUCAUGCCAAAAGGGGAAAGAUUUCUAGUACUUGCUUGAACCCCACUGAACUGGUUUAGGGAAUUAAUUAGAGGAAAACUCUUCACCUUUGUUUCUUCCCUCGCUGGUUUUCUCCUAGACCCCAUGGCCCUGCGUGAACUCACCAGCCCAGCCACCCCUUCCAUGACUUGUGGCCACUGAGUGAACUUGACUGUGAUUUAAAUUGCACCCUCAGCAAAGGGGCUUUGGCUUCUCCCUGCUGCGGGAGAAGGAGCCUGCCAAAUACCCAAAUCUGAGCUUUGUAAAUCAUACCCAGCAAGUCUCGGUGGCCAACUUGCUUCAAGGAUAUAAGGAGGAGGAACACCUGCGAGACCUUCUGGGGGUGAAUUGCAACCCCUGUAUAUAUAAAAGGUGUUGAUAAGCUGGUGUUGCUGGCAGCCCUCCUGGCCUGACCUAAUGCUCUGUGUGCAUAUGUUCUGUAAAUAAAGAUCAGGGCAGGCUUCUUCCCUUGAACACAUCCUCUGUCCAUGCCUAUGGAGGUAUUCAGGAGACCUUCCUAAGGCUGGGCAUUGGAGGUUGCAUGAAAAUUUCCAAAAUCUUUGGCUUCACACAUUUGGUGUUAAGGUACAUACAUGUGUUGCAUGCAUCACACAUAGUUUUGAGGACAAACUCAGUGCAGCAGGCUUAGCUCUCAUCCCAGGCAGUUUUCUCAGGGCUCUGGACUUGCAUCUAAUUUUUACAAAGCUCAUCAGAUGGCUGGUACCAGAGUGCUUUUCUUUGAGGGAUACUGUAUCAGCACAGUCGGGUAUUGGAUUGCUUUGCAGAAUUUUCUUGCCUUCCAUGGCGCAGGGCUUUUUUUGGCGAAGGUUCCAUCACACACUGAUCUUGCUGUCUUCUGUAGCAGAUGAGCCGUGGGUUCCUGGCUUGCACUUUCACCUAAGGGUGAAAGUGGUAGGAUGAAGUCGUAUAUCCAGACCUGUUAGUUUGGAGUACAAUGGUGUUGGUUAUAUCCCUCUUUUUUUUUUUUUUAACCUUGCAUUAGGGUGUGCUGAAGGAAGCAGGGAUGAAAACACUGUAGGUUGAAAUUACCCAGUAAAGAGCCUGAAUCAGCUGCAGAGGAUACUGAAAAUCUUGGUUACAGACCCAUUUUUUAUUUUUUCAAUAUUAUUAUAUCAUGCAGUGAAAAAGCAUAUCUGUUUCUUGGGUGAGGUCUUCCCGAGUUGACUGUGCUUCCCUGUGGCACGGCACACUUUCUUUGUAGCAUCCCGCAUGGGAGAUGAAAGGGUUUGAUGUAUACUGCCUUCAGGGCAGUGUGGAUUUCUCCUCAAAAACGCAGAUUCUAGUUUUAAAUGCCUAAAAAAUGAGACCUGUGCCUUAUCUCUUGGGAGAUCGUUGAUGGAUCCAUUCCUCAAAAAGAUAUUUUAUUCAUUCAAACUAUUCAGUUCUUUAAUUCAGUGCCACUCCCUUCAUUCGGAUGCCUGGAGUCUUUUAUCAUGUCUCCUCUUACUCAUUGCUUAGCCAAGUUAGACAUACUUAGUUCUUUUAAUCUUUCCUAGUAACUGAGUGUCUUUAAUCAUCGUGCUUGAUGUCAGAGUGUUUGAUGCCCACUUUUACUGAAAGUAAGCCUGGAUUUUGUGUGUGUGCAAAUCACUUGGGAAGUGAUCCAGGAGAGCAGGAGUAGCUGAGCAGCUGCAGCUGGUUGCACAGGCUUACUCCUGGAUUCCUCAAAAGCUCCCUCAAAUAUCCCAGUGUGGGUGCUGAGGAAGAUUCUUGGCUCACCUCAUAUGCCAGCAGACUUGGCACGCUUGGGGAUUAAUUAAUGUUUUUGUUGGAUGUGGGCAGCAGCUCCCCUGAAGACGUCUCAUGGCUUGGCUUUCCAGAGGCACAUUUCUCUGGACUUCCAUGGAACUAAUUGAAGAUGCAGGUGUAGAUUAUGUUUGCAGAAAACAGGCCCAGAAAGGUUACUGAAACUUACGUUUCCUUCUCUUACCCUCAGCAACAAGAGCAAGAUAGAGGCUUAACUUCCUUCUGCAAAAUCAAUAGCAAAGCCAAGGGAUGGGUUGUUUUUUGGGAGCAGUGAUUUUGCUACAUGCUGUUAAGUGCAGCUCAUCUACUCUUGCUGCAGGUAUUACUGUUGAUUUUCCAGAUGAGUUCAUAUAUUUGCACCUGAAAAUAAUCAUUCACAAAUUCUUAAAUCAGUGUGAAUGUAGGGAUUAUUGCUAUCUGUUACUGAGCUAUGCAGAGUAUCAUCUCAGCAUGGUGUCGUCAGACUUGGCUUUGUGGAGGUAAGCAUCUGCUUUCCUUCUUUGACACAGAAGUCCACAAUUUAUUCCAUCUUAUUUCAGUGGGAGCUGUUGGUAUUUCUCUGUUUCAGAAAGCCUGGCCUGAUCCAAGCCUAGUGUCGACUCACUUGGUUAAAUGCAGCACAUCUCCGGUUUGCUGGCAUCAGCACUGAGGGAGCUCGGGGUGGCACCUCUGAGUGAAGGAGGAGCAUGGACUUUGAAUCACACAGUGUUUGGCAGCAAAUUAAAGAAGGCCGAAGACUGCCUGUCCCUCCCCCUCAUCCUAUUCUGCAAGAAUGCUUCUCAUACUUCCCAAACUUAGCAGUGCAAAUGUCACUGGGUCUCGCUUGACUGAAAAAAGGAGAAAGGAGGAGUGUGUGCAGGGAGUUCAGGUCCUGCUGUGGCUUCUUGGGAAGUGAGGGCUCCUGUUGAGCAGCUGUCCCAUUUUACCGAGCAGCUGGAGUUAGAGGCUGAUUAAAGGAGUGAGAAACCUCUUUUCAUUUAUUUCUGCUGCAUAAGACAGCAGAAAACCACAAAACUGGAGCCUCAGUAAUUUCUUUACACCCACCAUUUGCCAGUAUUCUGGAUUGGAAACCAACCACAGCAGCUACUGACAGUCUCAUUCCUCCUCCAUGUGAACCUCCUUCCAGGGAACUGUGAUAAUUCCCACCUCCAUUUCCUUUGCAGACUGGGGUUUCAUGACCAUUAAACCUCUUCCUGGAACCAUGGGAUGGCCCCACAGUGCUUUUGAUCCAGGUCAGAUGUGCGCUUCUCUGUGGGAUGAGAGUCCAGCAAGUCCAGCCAUCAGAACCUACCUAGACCCGAUGGAGCUGCAUGCUCUGACUCGUCCCUACCAAAAUGUCCCCACACCCUGCCCCAGGGCUGUGCAUUCCUGGGUGCUGGUUGCCUGUGCCUCAUGAAGUCUUUCCACCAAACUCAUCAGUUUGGCUUCGUUCUGCAUCACCACACUGACACUGUGCAAGCUGCAAGCCACCAAACUGUACCUUUGAGCCAUCUCAUGGGGCACAUGUCUCACAGUGGCUUGGCUGCUGGGCCACGCAGGGUGGGAUGCGCAGCACACUGCGAGGUUGAGCACUGAGCUGGGAGAAUAGCGUCCCUAAUUCAGGUUGAUGCUGGAGCUCUUUCUGCAGACCAUUUCAAAGGGCGUUUUGUUUUUUGUCUUCAUUCACUGUUCACAAGUGUUCUCCCACUUGUGCAUUUUGUGCAAUUUUAAAAGCUUCUUGCAUGUAUUCCUUUCCUCUUAUCCUAGAUUAAGUGGCUGUCUUCUCUUCUUUCUUAGCUGGCUUGUUCUUGCAGAGGCAGGGAGUAGCAAAACAUGUUUUUCCUUCUGAAAAGAGAAAAAAUAAAUAUGUUUGAUACCUGAGAAUAGUUUUUACUGUUCAUCUGAGGCAGCUUGAAAUCCUUAGGGAAAAUCAGAAUUGUUCCAUUAGGACGAGCUGCUUGCAAGCAUUCUGCCAAACUGGAACAGCCCUUCAAGCUGUACUGAAAUGAAUUAAAACCCUCCGCAGAUAAGCACAGCAUAGGGUAUAAAUUUUAUUUCAACAGACGGAAAAAGUCCAGUACAUCAUCUCCUUUUAUUUCAGUGUGUGGUUGUCUUGUCACCCAUGUACAUAUAGAAGUAUGCUUUCUUCACAUGUAUUUGCUGAGGCACUCAAGCUAAACGCGAUUGAGCCUGGUGGUUGCUGGGAUGGUUCAUCGUGCAUGUCCAGGUGCCAUCUGUACACAGGGAAGCUGGCAGUGCAGCAAAUGGCUGUUUUCCUUCCUAUAAGAAAUGCAUGUUGGCGUUGCUUUUUGAUGAUCGCUUAGGAUCUUAAAGUUUUUGUGCUUUCACAUUUAUUUUUGUGAUGGCUAAAUUUCAGUUCACUUAAUUCCCUGUGAACAAUUCUUCUUUUGUUAAAUAAACUAUUCCUUGCAAACCAUAGCAGUGAUGUCAUUGUUGUUGUGGGGGUUUGGGUUGGGUUGAGUUGAGUUUUAAGCAGCU